Pseudophryne corroboree (corroboree frog) is the source of this 720-nucleotide long non-coding RNA. RefSeq lists it as uncharacterized. The record is from RefSeq and is a predicted model, not a curated record. Lineage: Eukaryota; Metazoa; Chordata; Amphibia; Anura; Myobatrachidae. The transcript is spliced from 4 exons.
UAUGGCUUCUAACCUGGAAGUCUUGCUGUUCUGCCUCCAGGUGCACGAGCUGCACAGGGCGCCCUUGUCCGUCGCUUGGUUGCUGCUGUCAGAAUCCGCCGGUGAAAGUGCUGCCAGGAUGUACAGCUUAGUUCGGUACUUUCUUUUCUAUACACAUCCUGUGGGUCUUCACUGUGCAGCGUCUAACAGUAGUCUCCUAACAAGCUGACGCUCCAUCUUCCCUGGUAACAUCAUUCAAUCUCCUUUGUGGUUCCUUGCUCCUAACUAAUGGCUCUAAGGCUCUCUGGAAAAAUGUUUAUUGCUUGCAAGAUGUGGUUUCUCUGGAAAAGGAAAGCAGCCAGCUACAUCAGCUUGGACAAAAGGGCAGAGCAGUCACGUUGGGUUCCUCCUCUACAGGUAAUCCAGUGACAAUAUUUAUUGUUUACAAGCCAUGCCAAGCAGGAUCUGUGUGACAGCAAGAAGCAGAGCACAGGUGCGGGAACAGGAAGAAGUGCUACAGAACCCAGGACACCUUCCUCCUCAGAUUCACCCCUCGCUCUCCGGCUCUUCCAGGAUGUAAGCUAUAACUGGACCUGCGCGGCAUUGAAGGCUGAUCCAGAUGGACGGAAGAACGAGCGUGAGAUUCUAUGAUGACCACAACGCUUACGGCAAGCCGUGACGCCGCAUAGCUCCAUUUCCUACGGCCGCCGUUGAACUUGGCGCUUUUUGUGUGACACUAUU